Molecule: ribosomal RNA, 436 nt
Filed under: uncultured bacterium
Lineage: Bacteria
Description: bacterial SSU rRNA
Rfam family: Bacterial small subunit ribosomal RNA
Source: RNAcentral
UGAGGAAUAUUGGUCAAUGGCCGAGAGGCCGAACCAGCCAAGUCGCGUGAAGGAUGAAGGAUCUAUGGUUUGUAAACUUCUUUUAUAGGGGAAUAAAGUGCGGCACGUGUGCCGUUUUGUAUGUACCCUAUGAAUAAGCAUCGGCUAACUCCGUGCCAGCAGCCGCGGUAAUACGGAGGAUGCGAGCGUUAUCCGGAUUUAUUGGGUUUAAAGGGAGCGUAGGCGGGUCGGUAAGUCAGUUGUGAAAGUUCGGGGCUCAACCCCGGAAUUGCAGUUGAAACUGCCGGUCUUGAGUACACGCAGGGGAAGCCUGAAUUCAUGGUGUAGCGGUGAAAUGCUUAGAUAUCACGCAGAACCCCGAUUGCGAAGGCAGCCUGCCAAGCCAUGACUGACGCUGAUGCACGAAAGCGUGGGGAUCAAACAGGAUUAGAUACCC